GACGAACGCUGGCGGCGUGCCUAAUACAUGCAAGUCGAGCGAGUCUGCCUUGAAGAUCGGAGUGCUUGCACUCUGUGAAACAAGAUACAGGCUAGCGGCGGACGGGUGAGUAACACGUGGGUAACCUGCCCAAGAGAUCGGGAUAACACCUGGAAACAGAUGCUAAUACCGGAUAACAACAGAUGAUGCCUAUCAACUGUUUAAAAGAUGGUUCUGCUAUCACUCUUGGAUGGACCUGCGGUGCAUUAGCUAGUUGGUAGGGUAACGGCCUACCAAGGCGAUGAUGCAUAGCCGAGUUGCGAGACUGAUCGGCCACAUUGGGACUGAGACACGGCCCAAACUCCUACGGGAGGCAGCAGUAGGGAAUCUUCCACAAUGGACGCAAGUCUGAUGGAGCAACGCCGCGUGAGUGAAGAAGGGUUUCGGCUCGUAAAGCUCUGUUGUUGGUGAAGAAGGACAGGGGUAGUAACUGACCUUUGUUUGACGGUAAUCAAUUAGAAAGUCACGGCUAACUACGUG
This 519-nucleotide ribosomal RNA is filed under the name uncultured bacterium. RNAcentral's name for it is "partial 16S ribosomal RNA". It matches the Rfam family "Bacterial small subunit ribosomal RNA", at positions 28 to 507 of the family's 1533-position model. The record is from RNAcentral.